CGCGGUAUUUUGACCGUGCGAAGGUAGCAUAAUCAUUAGUCUUUUAAUUGGAGGCUGGAAUGAAUGGUUGGACGAGAAGGAAGCUGUCUCUAUCUCGGAGAUUGAAUUUAACUUUUAAGUGAAAAGGCUUAAAUAAGUUAGAGGGACGAUAAGACCCUAUAAAGUUUAUACAUGAAGUUGGUUAAGAGUGAUUUAAGGUGUUAAAGUUUAUUAUCAGCAGGGUGUUUAGUUGGGGCGACUAGGAUAUAAAUUAUAUAACUGUUUUUUGUUUAAUCAGAGAUAUUUGUUCAUAUGGUCCCUUUUUAGGAUUAGAGAAUAAAUUACUUUAGGGAUAACAGCGUAAUUUUUUUUAAGAGUUCUUAUCGACAAGAGAGUUUGCGACCUCGAUGUUGAAUUAAAAAUUUCUCUGUGGUGUAGCGGUUACAGGAGAAGGUC
Molecule: ribosomal RNA, 435 nt
Filed under: Cherax quadricarinatus
Lineage: Eukaryota; Metazoa; Arthropoda; Malacostraca; Decapoda; Parastacidae
Description: partial 16S ribosomal RNA
Rfam family: Bacterial large subunit ribosomal RNA
Source: RNAcentral